GUCAACGGCCAUAUCACGUAGAACGCACCUGGUCUCGUCAGCUCCCAGAAGUUAAGUUACGUCGAGUCCCGUUAGUACUUGGAAGGGUGA
RNAcentral lists this ribosomal RNA (90 nucleotides) under Daphnia pulex (common water flea). The record is from RNAcentral. Lineage: Eukaryota; Metazoa; Arthropoda; Branchiopoda; Diplostraca; Daphniidae.